AAUUCUUUGGUUAUAUUGUCUUAUUUCAAAAAUCAUUUGUCCAUUGUUGUCGAAUCUCAGCCCUGAAUAUGAAAUCCAUGAUUGUAGCAGGGAAUGUCACAAAAAAGGCCAUCAAAUAACUGUAAUUAUCAGGUCUUGAUUUGUUUCUGGUGUACACAAUCAAUUAUAGUAAUGCUUUAUUAUGAUAGUAUUAUAAGGUUCUCUAUUUUAAACCUAGGUAAAAU
Molecule: unclassified non-coding RNA, 224 nt
Filed under: Hevea brasiliensis (rubber tree)
Lineage: Eukaryota; Viridiplantae; Streptophyta; Magnoliopsida; Malpighiales; Euphorbiaceae
Source: RNAcentral